GGCUACGGCCAUGCUACCCUGAACAAGCCUGAUCCCAUCUGAUCUCAGAAGCUAAGCAGGUUCAGGCCUGGUUAGUACUUGGAUGAGAGACCACCUAGGAAGACCAGGUGCUGUAGGCG
Molecule: ribosomal RNA, 119 nt
Filed under: Pteropus alecto (black flying fox)
Lineage: Eukaryota; Metazoa; Chordata; Mammalia; Chiroptera; Pteropodidae
Source: RNAcentral